AUGACUGACCGUGAACUCCUUAUAAGUCUUCACCAGAAGGUGGAUCUCAACCACAAGUGGGUUAAGCGUCAGUUUGGAUCUAUUCUUCACAACAUGACCUCUACACAUAAUGCAGUGAAGAAAAACCACUACUACCUCCAUGAAGUGUUUGAUCGCACCUGGGCUAUUCUGUCACAUCUAUAUGGUGAAGAAGAUCAGAAGCAAAUGGGCUUCAAGGAAGACUUUGACUGGUCUACUCCUCCACCGAAGAGAUUCAAGAAGGUCAGGGUUCCUUCCUUGGUGGCUAGAUCAUAUUCUUCAUCACACGCCACGGACGAGCAUGAAGACUUGGACGACACUGCAGCAGGCCCUACAACGACUCAAGACCUUGACAACAAUGGCGCUCCUCCAUCAUCAUGA
RNAcentral lists this ribosomal RNA (399 nucleotides) under Triticum aestivum (bread wheat). RNAcentral's name for it is "partial small subunit ribosomal RNA". Lineage: Eukaryota; Viridiplantae; Streptophyta; Magnoliopsida; Poales; Poaceae. The record is from RNAcentral.